UGUUAAAAAUUUCAUCCAUUUGUACUGUUAAAAAAUAGUGUGGCUGACGGAAUAACCAUAUAUUGACACGUUGCUGACGUACAAAGACCAAUUUUUAACAAUAGAAAUGGAUGGAAUUACUAUCA
Molecule: non-coding RNA, 125 nt
Organism: Gossypium raimondii (Peruvian cotton)
Lineage: Eukaryota; Viridiplantae; Streptophyta; Magnoliopsida; Malvales; Malvaceae
Source: Rfam